This 213-nucleotide ribosomal RNA is filed under the name Caloboletus rubripes. RNAcentral describes it as "partial 28S ribosomal RNA". It matches the Rfam family "Eukaryotic large subunit ribosomal RNA", at positions 1 to 211 of the family's 3401-position model. The record is from RNAcentral. Lineage: Eukaryota; Fungi; Basidiomycota; Agaricomycetes; Boletales; Boletaceae.
UGACCUCAAAUCAGGUAGGACUACCCGCUGAACUUAAGCAUAUCAAUAAGCGGAGGAAAAGAAACUAACAAGGAUUCCCCUAGUAACUGCGAGUGAAGAGGGAAGAGCUCAAAUUUUGAAUCUGGCGGCGUUCUGCCGUCCGAGUUGUAAUCUAGAGAAGCGUCUUCCGCGCUGGACCGUGUACAAGUCUCCUGGAAGGGAGCGUCGUAGAGG